GUCGGUCACGCGGGCUGCAGAGGAGGGACGUCGGCGUCGUGGAACGGAGAUCCGGGGUGUGGCGCGGUGCAGGGGCGCGCCUCCAGCGACGGCAGAGGCGGAUCUGCGGCUUUGACGGGCUACUGGCGUCACGGGUCCCUGUGGCGGCGAGUGCGCAGGCCGGCUGCGGUGGAUCUGGACUUGCUGUCGUGGGGAGGUUCUUGCGGCGGGCAAAUCUGGAGCAGCAGCAGCCAACGCAGGGGUAGCAGACAGAGGCGCGGCAGAGGAGGGCUCGGUGACUCAGCUGGUGUGGCGGCGACGCGGCUUCCAGUGGACGGAUGGCAGAGCGGAGUGGCGUCGGGGGGCGGGGCUUCGACGAGGCGAAGGGCGCCGGAUGCGGGCCGGGGCACUGGAACUCCGGUGCUGCAGAUCGGAGACGGGACGACCCAACGGCGUGGGGGAAUCGGGUCGGCGCGAGCUUCGGGUUGCGGCUCUGGCAACAGAUCGGGGAAGCGACGGUGCUGCUCACGGAGGCGGGCGGUCGCGGUAGAGGCGGUCGCAACGGCACGGGGACGGCUUGGCGGGCGGAGGUCGGCGGCUCGGCCGCCGGUAGGGAUCCCUCCCCCACGAGGAAGAUGAACAGUCGCAAAGGGGGAUGCUUUUCUUUUCUUUUCUUUUCUUUUUUCUCUCUUUUUUUUUUCACUUUUCCUCUCUCCACUCACUCUUUCACCUUUUGCUCUUUUUUCUUCUUUUUUUUUUACCGACGGAAUGCCCCCUUUCUUGCUCCAAAUUUUUUGAAAUCCCUUCCCCCUUUUGUCCGUAUGUGCGCAACGCCUUUUAUAGGGAAAAUUUUAGAUCUUUGAAGCGUAUUUUAUUUCCAAUUUUACUUGUGCAUAAUUCUCUGAAUAUAUCAUUGCACCACACGUGAUAUUCUCUUUUGUAUUUAUCAAAUAUCCCAUCCAAAAUUUUCCUUUUUGCUUGAAAAUAUAGCCUUUGGUGUAUAUUGCCUAAAUAUGUGAAGAAUCUGAACAGAAUAUGUGAAAAAUCUUCCCUUCACUGGCGGCCUAAAAUAAAACAAAAAUAAAAUGUUUCUAAACUAUAUGCCAUGUGAUUUUUUUUUUUAGUAAAAAUUAACCCUAAAAAUUAUGCAAAAAUUUAGGUGUCAACAGCUGCUCCUCUUUGAAUGUGAGCUCGAAGAGGUUGCCUUCAAAGACAAAUUAAGACCUAAAUUUUGGUCAUGCACAUGCAAUGAAUGAUUUUUUGUUGGAAAAUGAAUUCCAUUUUUUAAUGCAAAUUAUAUGAUGUAUGAAAAUACUAAUGCAAAUGAUAGAUGAACCUACUUGAAAUAACUUACCUUCGAGGAGGAUAGAGUAAUUCGAGGUAGUGGGUGUUACCUGUCCAGGACCCGUACUAUUCUACGGUUGCCUAGAAUAGUAACAUGACUUUGUGAAGAUGCUGCUUUCCUAGGACCCGUAUCAUUCUACGGUCGCCCAGUAUGGCAGAAAGGAGCUGCUUUUUCAGGACCCAUACCAUUCUACGGUCGCCAAUACGGCAGAAAGGUUUUGUAAGGAACUGCUUUCCUAAGACCCGUACCAUUCUACGGUCGCCCAGUACGGCAGAAAUGUUUUGUCUAAAACCCAUACCAUUCUACGGUCACCGAAACAAUGAUUCAUUUUCCAGGACCUGUACCAUUCUACGGUCGCCUGAAUAAGGAAUAUGUGUUGUCAAGGACCCGUACCAUUCUACGGUCGCCUCGACGAAGAAAAUUAUUUUUCCAGGACCCGUACCAUUCUACGGUCGCCUGAAUGAGGAAAUUGCUUUUCCAAAACCCGUACCAUUCUACGAUCGCCUAUUAGAGCAAUAAAUGUUGUCUAGGACCCGUACCAUUCUACGGUCGCCUAGAUUGAGGUUUUGCUUGGCUAGGACCCGAACCAUUCUUCAGUUGCCCAGCCUUGCGACAGAAAUCAUCCGACCAGGACCCGAACCAUUCUUCGGUCGCCUUAAUCAGAUUGAAUCUGGAGGAAAAAUCUUUGGAGGACAACUCCAUUGAGUGUCGAUGUAAAGGACUCUAAGCUACGAAAGCACGCCAGGUCGAUAAAAGAAAUCUGGGCUAUGGAAGCACGCGGUUCGAUAAAAUGGACUCUGGGCUACGAAAGCACGCCAGGUCAAGAAAGAGACAUCGGGCUAUAGAAGCACGCCGAGUCGAUGAAAAUGACUAUGGGCUACGAAAGCACGCCAGGUCGAUAUAACUGGACAGCUUGACCAAGUCAAGUGUUGAUGCACUUGAGAGAGAAUACCUGCACAAUGACAAGUAUUUUAGAGUAUGGUAAAGAUAUACUUACCUGGUGACAUCUCUGAUUCUUGGGGAUAUGUCUUUUGAAAUUUAGAUAUCCUGUGGAGGUCUUUCACCUCAUGGUGAAGGUUUCUCAUCUCCUAAUAUCAUGAAACAUUAUGAAAGGAACUUGAAUUACCUGUCAGACAUGAUUUAGAGCAAAAACUGAUAGACAAUUUGAGCUACUCUAGAAUGCACAUUUCAAAAUUCAGUGAAAUUCUCAUUAAUUCAAUCGGGGUUCAUGCAUAAUGACCUUUGCAUCACCCAAAUUUCCACUGGAGAGAAUUAUCAUUCAAGACAAUCUUCACUCAUGACAUGGAUUUCCUAAAAAUACUAAAUGAGAGACCUUCAGUUAGAAAUGACUUUCACUUACUCUCAUUUAGAGGCUAUUUUAUGAUAAUCACUCUAUCUCACUAUCAUCAUACCAACAAGGGUCCAAGUAUUCUCGCAAGCGGUACGACCUUACCAAUCUGAGAGGUCUUUAAUAGGGACCGUAAUGUGGGCUUGGUCAAUGGCUUAACAAAGGGACUCAUCGAGUCAAAGCAAUUGAAAGAACAGCUUCGCAAUCAUCUCCGGGUUUACAAGUCAAGAACCCUGCAAAAUGAGAAAGAAAUAGUCUUGCUCGCACUCCUUCGAGCGAUGCUUAAAACAUGUGAACCCCUAUGUUAAUUCAAGUGCCCUAAUCUGAAGAGACUUGUAAGGGACGUAACAUAGGCUGGGUUCAUGGGUUGAGAAAUGAAAAGAUCAUUAGGCUCAAAAUGUGUGUGAAUGGUGAGGGUUGGUGAUCAUCUUGGCAUUGUCACUAGUUUUCUUUUUCAUCAUCGGGGAUUGUCUUCAUGAAAUGCCCCAUUGAUUGUAAAAACUCAACUUUUGAGUUCUUUGAGUAUUGCUCUAUCAGGAUUCAAUUCUUGCAAUUGAGAAUCACCUUAUAUUGACUCUCUUUUUCAUCUAUGGGCAUUGGCCUUACUUUUACCAGCACACCACAUUUUCACGCCCCUAGUUCUCGUUCAUUUUUUUUCUUCACUUUUUUUUCAUGGGCAUUGGCCUUACUUUUACCAGGCACAUUGCUUUUUCAUGCCCCUUAAUUCUAUUUUGAAUUCAAUUCUUGCGCAUAAUGCAUGCGUCAAGCAAUUACACUUUGAAUGACACUCGAACUUUUCAAGAGUCUUCAUCUGCCUUUUGCCUUGCCCCAAUGUGAGGGAUGAUCACCAACUGAGUUUAAAGAAAUGAAAAAUUGCAGGCUCAAAUGGGCUGUGCAAAGGAUAUAAGUAUGUAGGAUAAAGAAAAAAUGCUCUUCGUCAUUCUAAGGCACUUAAAUUACCAUAUGAAUUCAAUGUAAUAGCACGACUUAAAAAUUGAUGCAAGUGAGAGCAAGAAAUUUCUUUUCAUUUUCCUCACCUCAUGAUGCCGUCUUACCUCCAACUUGCCCCAAUGUGGGGUGGUUCUUGACAGGGAUAAUUUGAAAAAAAUCUCCACAAAUGUAUGGGGCUCAAAAGGGGUUAAGCAAUGUAUCACUUGUAGUGUUCGGGAUAGAGAAAUGAACUGCCUCUCAUCAUUUCGGUCAUCAUACCUUUUACGAGAGAACUCUUUACCUUGUAGAUAUGGAACUUCCUACACUCAUCUCACAAAUGUAUAAGUAGGGAAUUGUGUAUAGGAUAAGGCUUGCCUUUCAUCAUACUGACACGUCUCAUUCAGCAUUCUUAAGCAUUGAUGUCACUCCAUUAAAUUGUCUAUCUUGACAAAUCUCCACAUGAAAUUGGUAAGCUAAAUCAAUAUGAAAAUUUUCUUUUCAAAAGAGUUCAGCAACUUUAAGCAUAAAAAGCGUUUGUGACCUCAAAACAAACAAUUUACUACACUCAAACAUGAUUUCAAGCAUUCAUUCAAGGAAUUGUUCCAUGAAGGGAUUGUCUCAGCAAUGGAUGUCCCUAGAUUGCCUCUAUCGAAAGGGAAUAAACACACAAAUUGAUCAAUCGAUGAUGAAAAUCCGAUCUUUGAUUUGAUGAAAUCUUGCUUUUGCCCCUGCACAAAACAAUGUGCAUGAAUAGGAUACUAUGCAACAUCAAAGUAAAUUCAAAUUGCACAACUAUUUUGACUCGAAUCGAGAUUUUGUCUCAGUCAUGUCACUACUAGAAUCUGUAGUGCCCCCAAUUCGUCAUAUGCAAGGAAAAGAACAAAGCAUCAUCUCCCAAAAUUAUUUAUGUUCAAAAACAAGAUGUACCUCUUUCACCAAAGAUGGAUGAUCCUCUUUUAACUUGCCCGUCAUUUAAUGGGCGAGAAUGAAAAUUCCGUCAAGCAUGGAAAUGGAACACACUUUGUUUGGCCCUUCAAGAUGGAUAUUAACUCUUUAGAAACUUGUUGAGUAACAAUUGAACCAAUUGCAACUUGAUGUGCCUUUUUCAGAUGCUUUCUUAUCGGGUCAAGAAAGUAAUGCUCUGAAACAUGAAGUAAAUGAGUCAGAAAAUUAAACAAGGCUAAUCUAACGCAUGCUUUUUGGAAAUGGCUUGAAAAAUGAUCUUUUUUUUUUUGUUCUUUUGGAUUUUUUUUUGGAUGAGGAAGCAUGAAGAAGCCGAGUCCUCAGAAUUCUCCUUGGAUGAUAUUUUCUUUUCAUUGUUGGAUAUCAUCACCGGACUAGUUUGGUGUACCCCAUCAUGUCCUCAAAACAAAACUUGUAAUUUUAUUGAUAUUCAUCAAUCGAAUUACAUUUAUUGGAAUGUGAUGUUCAAGCACAGAAGAAAUCAAUCCCUAAAAAGCGAUAAAAAUUCUCAUGCGGGGGAAGAUGUAUGCCCCUGAUUAAAUGAGGAAAUCGAACUACUUAGGACCAUGAAUCAUGUGUACAUGAAUUCUUCACCCUUCUUGAUCUUGUGAUGCAAGCCCUUCAGGUUUGAUAUUCUUCCAUUUAGAUAUGUUGCUACCCUCUUCAUGAUGGCAUCAAAUUCGACUACCUCAGGAAAAUGAGACAAUUCAAAAGGUCUUCUUGGCUCUCUUCUUGGAGUCGCAAUUUAUCACUGAAGAUAGAUUGCGGCAUUUUUGCUUGACAAGAUAAGCUCUUUUUGAUCUGUCAUUUUGGCUCUUGAUCGUGAACGGAUGGGUGAGCGAGAUCGUUCCAUAAUCACCUAGUUCAAAUGAACGGGAACAUGUAAGAACGAGGGUAAAUAAAAAGUCAAUCCAUGACAAUGAUCUAAUUGAUUUUUCCAUUUUUUUUUCAUUUACUCAUGAAAAGUUUGUACAAGAAGGGCAUUUCCUAAAAAUGGACAAGGAAAAUAAAGAUAGACACCCCAGCGAGACUAAAUUCGCUAGACAUGAAUUGAAAACGAAUUCUCCAAAGUUUUUUUAUUUUAUUUGCAAAUGAUUCAUUGCAUGGCAAUUUCCUCAUUUUACAUCUAAUUGACAAAUGAAUUAAAUCAAUAAUUGACCUAGAUUGUCAUGGACGGACCAAAAGUAUGACAAAGUAAGUAAAUUGCAAUAGUAUAGGGAAAGAAGACUUACUUCACCAAGGAGAAUCAAUGGUAAUCACGUAGCCAUGCGCAUGGUAAGUGGCUCGAUUUCUAAUUUAUAAGGCUUAUCAAGGUGGAGCAACAAGGAUGAUCGGACUAGCCACGGGCUUGUGGACUAUGUCGGGCCCUCAUGACUCCAGCUUGGUCAAAGAGCCGACCCGGGUCGCGAGCAUGCGGACCGAGGUGGGUACUCUUGACACCAUGAAAUAAACUUCGGGAUUGAGAUGGGGGACUCGUACUACAAGCAUGCGGUCGGAGUGGUAUCCAUUUCAAUACCAUCCUAAAUGAUCAUAUGCGGCCUAGGUCCGACGGCAAGUUGUGUGUGCAACAGUGUAGUGCUAGAUGCAAGGCAUGCACGAUAGUUUAUAUCAAGCAACACUUCGUUCAUGAAAAUAAACCAUACAUUCCUACGCCUUCCUACAAAACAAAGGUUAACAAACACUUCCUCUUAUACCUCCCAUCCUGCAAGAACAUUUAAAGUGCGUACCUGAAAUCAUUGCUGCCAAACAAAACAUUUUUCAAAAGAAAAAAAAAUUGUCCUAAGUCCACUAAGAGUUUCAACUCAAGUCCCCAGUGGAGUCGCCAAGCUGUCGCGACCAAUAUUUUUCGGAUGUGAACCAUCUAGGGUUUGGCUAAUGGAUUGUUAAGCUUAGACUUAACUUGAGCUCUCCCAAGCCCAUACCAAUUCGUGACUUAGGUUCAAGUUCUUAACAUGCAAUUGAUUUUCAAUUAGGAGUCGCCACUAAUCUAUUUUUGGUGAGUCGAUUAGAAACCCAAAUAAAAUAACGGGAGAAUUAUUUUACUCCUACGAACCAGAUACUAUGGGUACGGGGACUUGGUUAAGCUAGAAUUCUCUAACGCCCUUUUGGUACCUUUCUUUUUAUUUUGAAAAAUGUUUGGCAAGUAGUUUGGAUUGAUUUUAAAUCUAUUUCCCUAACACGUGAGGUGGUCAUAUGGGUGCACAAUCCACCAAUUUAACACCCAAAUAAACAAUAAAUAAAUUGCAAAAAAACAUACCUCAAAGCAACGAAAGCAUCUGCAAUGUUAAAUUAAAAUCCACAUCAAUAAUCCUAGAUAUGGUUUCUAAUUAACACGCAAUUUCUUUUUUUUUUUCACUUUUUUAAUGAAAAUCAUACAAUAUGCAAUGCAAUAUUAACUAAAUGACCUAAUUCUAUUGACAUGUAAUUUCUAAUUAAAUGGGCCUAGCAAAAAUACUAAAUGACAUGCAUCUCAAUGAAUCUAACCUUAAUGACGUGCAUAUGAAGUUUUUUUUUUUUUUUCUAAAAGAAUGCAUUUCAUUCUAAAUAAUAAAACUAAUUUAACCUAUGACAUUUUUUUGUAUUUUUCAUGAAAUUCGAGAUUAAAUAGAAUGUGAAAAUUAUCUAACUAGAUUAAGAUUAUAUUCAAUUUGUAUCAGGAAUUAGGUUGAACCAAAUCCUAAUUUAAACUAAAAUAUUAUCUUAACCCAAAUAAUCCUAAAAUGCAAUCUAUCUAAUAUCUAAACUUAUAAUAAAUUAAGAAAAAUAUUAUCUAGAAUUAAACUAAAUGCAAUUUUACCCUAGUAUGCAAUGACGUACAAAAAGAUGCCCUAACUCUACAUGACAUAUGCAUGAUGACUUUUUUUUGUGUUUUUCCUUUUUUCUUUUUUUUUUUAAUUUCGAAAUUAAUAAUUGCCAAAUAAUUAAACAUGCAAUCCAAGUUAAAAAAAAAACUAGCAACCUAAAUUAAUUGAUUUGAUUCUUUUUUUUUUUGGAAAAUUCGAAAUAAAAUUCCUAUUGUGAGCAUGCAAACCCUAAAACUACAUUUUUUUUUUUUUUUUAUAGAAAACUAACCUAGUAACACCACGGCAAAUCAAGCAAUACCGGUAUCUAAAUUGACGAACAAUAUCUCGUGCAUAAAAUCGGGUUAGCCAAUUUCACAUAAAUCACGAAUCGGAUCUCGGGCGGGAGAUCGAGUUGGCAAUUUUUUUAAAGUAAUUGCGAAUCGGAUUUCGGGCACGAAAAUCGGACUGACAAUCACUAAUUUCAAGGCAAUUUCAUAUCACGGAAUUUCAAUUUCACAUUAAAGGAAUAAUUACACUAAAAAGAUAAAAUAGCAAAAAUAAUAAAACAAAAAUAAGAUAAAGAAAAUACCUAAAUUUUCUUUUGCUUUUCUCUUUUUUUCUUUUCUUUUUUGUUUUUGAAAAAGAAAAAGAAAAAUAAAUCUGGUGGCCGGUCCGGCGAGGGGAGAUCACCUGCUAGGGGUUCCGGCGAGGGCACCGGGAGCGGCGCGACGGCGGCACUGCAACAGGGGCUUCGGGGAUCAGCACGGGGCGACGCGGGCGGCACGGCGAAACUGGUGGGCGGCGUCGCGGAAGGAGCAAGAGCUUCGGGUCUCCUGGCGUCGGUCACGCGGGCAGCAAAGGGGGGACGUCGGCGUCGUGGAACGGAGAUCCGGGGUGUGGCGUGGUGCAGGGGCGCGCCUCCAGCGACGGCAGAGGCGGAUCUGCGGCUUUGACGGGCUACUGGCGUCACAGGUCCCUGUGGCGGCGAGUGCACAGGCCGGCUGCGGUGGAUCUGGACCUGCUGUCGUGGGGAGGUUGUUGCGGCGGGCAAAUCUGGAGCAGCAGCAGCCAACGACGGGGUAGCAGACAGAGGCGCGGCAGAGGAGGGCUCGGUGACUCGGCUGGUGUGGCGGCGACGCGGCUUCCAGUGGACGGAUGGCAGAGCGGAGUGGCGUCGGGGGGCGGGGCUUCGACGAGGCGAAGGGCGCCGGAUGCGGGCCGGGGCGCUGGAACUCCGGUGCUGCAGAUCGGCGACGGGACGACCCAGCGGCGCGGGGGAAUCGGGUCGGCGCGAGCUUCGGGUUGCGACUCUGGCAACAGAUCAGCGAAGCGGCGGUGCUGCUCACGGAGGCGGGCGGCCGCGGUAGAGGCGGUCGCAACGGCGCGGGGACGGCUUGGCGGGCGAAGGUCGGCGGCUCGGCCGCCGGUAGGGAUCCCUCCCCCACGAGGAAGAUGAAC
RNAcentral lists this long non-coding RNA (8806 nucleotides) under Eucalyptus grandis. Its description in RNAcentral is "long non-coding RNA (EGRA_LNC000988)". The record is from RNAcentral. Lineage: Eukaryota; Viridiplantae; Streptophyta; Magnoliopsida; Myrtales; Myrtaceae.